Molecule: ribosomal RNA, 305 nt
Filed under: uncultured bacterium
Lineage: Bacteria
Description: partial 16S ribosomal RNA
Rfam family: Bacterial small subunit ribosomal RNA
Source: RNAcentral
ACAGCAGCCGCCGCGGGAAUACGUAGGUGGCAAGCGUUGUCCGGAAUUAUUGGGCGUAAAGGGCUCGCAGGCGGUUUCUUAAGUCUGAUGUGAAAGCCCCCGGCUCAACCGGGGAGGGCCAUUGGAAACUGGGAAACUUGAGUGCAGAAGAGGAGAGUGGAAUUCCACGUGUAGCGGUGAAAUGCGUAGAGAUGUGGAGGAACACCAGUGGCGAAGGCGACUCUCUGGUCUGUAACUGACGCUGAGGAGCGAAAGCGUGGGGAGCGAACAGGAUUAGAUACCCCCGUAGUCCCUGUCUCUUAUAC